RNAcentral lists this ribosomal RNA (612 nucleotides) under uncultured fungus. Its description in RNAcentral is "LSU rRNA". It matches the Rfam family "Eukaryotic large subunit ribosomal RNA", at positions 55 to 753 of the family's 3401-position model. The record is from RNAcentral. Lineage: Eukaryota; Fungi.
GGAAAAGACUACGAGGAUUCCCUCAGUAACGGCGAGUGAAGCGGGAAGAGUUCAAACCUAGAAUCGCCUCGCGGCGAGUUGUGGGGUGUAAACGCGUGUCUCAGCGGCUGUGCCGAUGGAAGUCGAUUGGAAAAUCGCAUCAGAGAGGGUGAAAAUCCCGUUCGACAUUGGACUGGCAGUCGCGUUCGAGCCGUUGUUUUCGAGUCGGGUUGCUUGGGAGUGCAGCCCUAAGUGGGUGGUAAAUUCCAUCUAAAACUAAAUAUGUGUGGGAGACCGAUAGCGAACAAGUACCGUGAGGGAAAGAUGAAAAGAACUUUGAAAAGAGAGUUAAAAGUACUUGAAAUUGUUUGGAUUGAAGGGAUGACGCCCAGUCGGUCAGGAUGGCUUGGUGGCGGGUUUGUUGCUCGCGGGGGUAGGUAGCUCCUCCUGGAGUGUUUUAGCCCCGCGUGCAAAGCCUGCCGGUGAGCGAGGUCGCGGAUAGAUCCUGACAAAAUGGUCGUCAUUCACCCGUCUUGAAACACGGACCAAGGAGUCUUACAUGUGUGCGGGUGUUAGUGUGACGAAGCAUUAUCGCGUAAUGAAAGUGAAAUUUGUUCAAACGAGGGCGACUAC